UCCUACGGGGGGCAGCAGUGAGGAAUAUUGGUCAAUGGGCGCGAGCCUGAACCAGCCAAGUAGCGUGAAGGAUGACUGCCCUACGGGUUGUAAACUUCUUUUAUAAAGGAAUAAAGUGAGGCACGUGUGCCUUUUUGUAUGUAUUUUAUGAAUAAGGAUCGGCUAACUCCGUGCCAGCAGCCGCGGUAAUACAGAGGAUCCGAGCGUUAUCCGGAUUUAUUGGGUUUAAAGGGAGCGUAGAUGGGUUGUUAAGUCAGUUGAGAAAGUUUGCGGCUCAACCGUAAAAUUGCAAUUGAUACUGGCAG
This 305-nucleotide ribosomal RNA is filed under the name uncultured bacterium. RNAcentral describes it as "bacterial SSU rRNA". It matches the Rfam family "Bacterial small subunit ribosomal RNA", at positions 337 to 639 of the family's 1533-position model. The record is from RNAcentral.